Molecule: transfer RNA, 76 nt
Filed under: Felis catus (domestic cat)
Lineage: Eukaryota; Metazoa; Chordata; Mammalia; Carnivora; Felidae
Also listed under: 1 other name
Rfam family: tRNA
About the family: Transfer RNA (tRNA) molecules are approximately 80 nucleotides in length. Their secondary structure includes four short double-helical elements and three loops (D, anti-codon, and T loops).
Source: Rfam by way of RNAcentral
GCUCAGUUGGCUAAGCGUCUGACUUUGGCUCAGGUCAUGAUCUCAUGGUUGGUGGGUUCGAGCCCCACACUGGGCU